GGGGAAUUUUGGACAAUGGGCGCAAGCCUGAUCCAGCAAUGCCGCGUGCAGGAUGAAGGCCUUCGGGUUGUAAACUGCUUUUGUACGGAACGAAAAAGCUCUCUCUAAUACAGGGGGUGAAUGACGGUACCGUAAGAAUAAGCACCGGCUAACUACGUGCCAGCAGCCGCGGUAAUACGUAGGGUGCAAGCGUUAAUCGGAAUUACUGGGCGUAAAGCGUGCGCAGGCGGUUUUGUAAGACAGAGGUGAAAUCCCCGGGCUCAACCUGGGAACUGCCUUUGUGACUGCAAAGCUGGAGUGCGGCAGAGGGGGAUGGAAUUCCGCGUGUAGCAGUGAAAUGCGUAGAUAUGCGGAGGAACACCGAUGUCGAAGGCAAUCCCCUGGGCCUGCACUGACGCUCAUGCACGAAAGCGUGGGGAGCAAACA
This 426-nucleotide ribosomal RNA is filed under the name uncultured bacterium. RNAcentral describes it as "bacterial SSU rRNA". It matches the Rfam family "Bacterial small subunit ribosomal RNA", at positions 356 to 774 of the family's 1533-position model. The record is from RNAcentral.